Molecule: long non-coding RNA, 1455 nt
Organism: Drosophila serrata
Lineage: Eukaryota; Metazoa; Arthropoda; Insecta; Diptera; Drosophilidae
Source: RefSeq, a predicted model, not a curated record
GAGGCUGGAACAGAGCCAAUGAAAAACGAUGGAGAGCAUUCUAGUUCUAUUGCGUUUAAGCGAGUAAUGGAUGAUGUUCUGCGUCCGGGUAUGGAGAACAAAUAUGUUUAUCAGAAUAUUGAAUCAGAAUAUUAUCGAAAGGCAAUGGAGCGAUUAGCGCGCAAAGGAGGGUUUUUAUCUGGAUUUCAUAAAUUUUUUGUAACUUUAAGGCAUAAAGCUCGUUUAUCAACUGACGUUUAUACAUUAUUAUUUCUAUGCGAUUUUUUAAAUUUUUUCGUUUUACUCUUUGGAUUCCCCAAAUUUGUAUAUCGGUACAAAUAUAGCACUAGCGUUUUGGAGACAUACAUUCAAGGAAACAAAGUUCCAUUUAGCUUUGUAAUUAUGUUGAUUGUUCAAUUUAUAACUAUUGUUAUUGAGCGUGCCAUCUAUCUUCGAAAAGCUUUGAUAUAUAAAAUUAUAUUUCAUUACAUUACUGUUGUUGGAAUUCAUAUUUGGAUGUUCUUUUUGGUUCCUUAUAUGACGGCGCAUAGUUUUGGGGAAACAGCACCUGUUUUGUUUUAUUUAAUAAAAUGUCUUCAUAUGCUUUUAUCUGCAUACCAAAUUCGAUGUGGUUACCCAAAACGUAUAUUGGGAAAUGUUUUACCAAAGGAUACUCGUUAGUUAAUUAUAUAGCAUUUAAAGUGUAUAUGGAGAUACCAUUUCUGUAUAUUUUUCGAACAAUGUUAGAUUGGGUAUGCAUUGACACAACUCUUACAAUUAUGGAAUGGAUUAAAAUGGAGGACAUUUUUCAAUCGGUUUUUAUUGUUCGUUGCUAUAGACAGAUGGAUACUGAUUUUCCUGUCUUACGUGCUGAACCUAAGGCUUUAUAUGUGAAAAUCUUAACUGGUGGAACUAUUAUAUUGAUUCUCGUAACCCUAGUAUGGAGCCCAUUAUUUCUUUUUGCUCUAGUUGGAACUGUGGGUAAACAUAAUACUCCUACAAAGGCUGAUAUAACAGUAAAAAUUAGCAACUAUGAACCAAUAUACGUGUCUCAAACCUAUUCUGGUAUUUAUAAUUUUUCCGAUGCAGAUUAUGAAGGCUUAAAAUAUCGCUUCCGUAAUAAUUAUGCGUCAGAUCAUAUAACAUUGUAUGAUGCAAUGGAUAUUACUGCAAUUAAGUUUGAUGCAAACUCAAGAACUUUGUGGAACAUGUCACCUCCGGAUAAAAACGUUUAUUAGAUGAUUUAAAAAUGGGAAAAGAUUUGGAAAUACGCUUAAAAAUUGAAUUAAAAUGUUACUUAACACCAGAAACUGUUGUUUAUGAAACUAUUUACGUCUUAAAAAAAACAAAUUAAAAACAAGAGAAAUGCUAUUAAAAAUAAUGAAUUCUGAAAAUAUCAAUGAGAAAGUUAUAGUACCGGAUAUAUUACCAAAAUUUGUAACAGUGCAAAAAGAGAAAGUGAACGGUAAAUUUAUU